AUUGAACGCUGGCGGUAGGCCUAACACAUGCAAGUCGAACGGCAGCACAGUAAGAGCUUGCUCUUACGGGUGGCGAGUGGCGGACGGGUGAGGAAUACAUCGGAAUCUACUUUUUCGUGGGGGAUAACGUAGGGAGACUUACGCUACUACCGCACACGACCUACGGGUGAAAGCAGUGGAUCUUCGGACCUUGCGCGUUUGAAUGAGCCGAUGUCGGAUUAGCUAGUUGGCGGGGUAAAGGCCGACCAAGGCGACGAUCCGUAGCUGGUCUGAGAGGAUGAGCAGCGACACUGGAACUGAGACACGGUCCAGACUCCUACGGGAGGCAGCAGUGGGGAAUAUUGGACAAUGGGCGCAAGCCUGAUCCAGCAAUGCCGCGUGGGUGAAGAAGGCCUUCGGGUUGUAAAGCCCUUUUGUUGGGAAAGAAAAGCAGCAGGUUAAUACCCCGCUGUUCUGACGGUACCCAAAGAAUAAGCACCGGCUAACUUCGUG
This 492-nucleotide ribosomal RNA is filed under the name uncultured bacterium. RNAcentral describes it as "partial 16S ribosomal RNA". It matches the Rfam family "Bacterial small subunit ribosomal RNA", at positions 30 to 507 of the family's 1533-position model. The record is from RNAcentral.